GACGAACGCUGGCGGCGUGCUUAACACAUGCAAGUCGAACGAUGAAGCUAGAGCUUGCUCUGGUGAAUUAGUGGCGAACGGGUGAGUAACACGUGAGUAACCUGCCCCGAACUCUGGGAUAACUGCUGGAAACGGUAGCUAAUACUGGAUAUGACCUACGAAGGCAUCUUCUGUAGGUGGAAAGAAUUUCGGUUCGGGAUGGACUCGCGGCCUAUCAGCUUGUUGGUGAGGUAAUGGCUCACCAAGGCGACGACGGGUAGCCGGCCUGAGAGGGUGACCGGCCACACUGGGACUGAGACACGGCCCAGACUCCUACGGGAGGCAGCAGUGGGGAAUAUUGCACAAUGGGCGCAAGCCUGAUGCAGCAACGACGCGUGAGGGAUGACGGCCUUCGGGUUGUAAACCUCUUUUAGUAGGGAAGAAGCGAAAGAGACGGUACCUGCAGAAAAAGCACCGGCUAACUACGUGCCAGCCGCCGCCGUAA
Molecule: ribosomal RNA, 484 nt
Filed under: uncultured bacterium
Lineage: Bacteria
Description: partial 16S ribosomal RNA
Rfam family: Bacterial small subunit ribosomal RNA
Source: RNAcentral